This 253-nucleotide ribosomal RNA is filed under the name uncultured bacterium. RNAcentral's name for it is "partial 16S ribosomal RNA". It matches the Rfam family "Bacterial small subunit ribosomal RNA", at positions 524 to 776 of the family's 1533-position model. The record is from RNAcentral.
UACGUAGGCAGCAAGCGUUGUUCGGAAUUACUGGGCGUAAAGGGUGCGUAGGCGGUUUGGUAAGUCUUAUGUGAAAUCUACAGGCUCAACUUGUAGUCUGCAUGAGAAACUGCCGGGCUUGAGUGUGGGAGAGGUGAGUGGAAUUCCUGGUGUAGCGGUGAAAUGCGUAGAUAUCAGGAGGAACACCUGUGGCGAAAGCGGCUCACUGGACCAUAACUGACGCUGAUGCACGAAAGCUAGGGGAGCAAACAGG